RNAcentral lists this ribosomal RNA (468 nucleotides) under uncultured bacterium. RNAcentral describes it as "partial 16S ribosomal RNA". It matches the Rfam family "Bacterial small subunit ribosomal RNA", at positions 28 to 507 of the family's 1533-position model. The record is from RNAcentral.
GACGAACGCUGGCGGCGUGCUUAACACAUGCAAGUCGAACGGAAAGGCCCUGCUUUUGUGGGGUGCUCGAGUGGCGAACGGGUGGGUAACACGUAAGUAACCUGCCCUUGACUUUGGGAUAACUUCAGGAAACUGGGGCUAAUACCGGAUAGGAGCUCCUGCUGCAUGGUGGGGGUUGGAAAGUUUCGGCGGUUGGGGAUGGACUCGCGGCUUAUCAGCUUGUUGGUGGGGUAGUGGCUUACCAAGGCUUUGACGGGUAGCCGGCCUGAGAGGGUGACCGGCCACAUUGGGACUGAGAUACGGCCCAGACUCCUACGGGAGGCAGCAGUGGGGAAUAUUGCACAAUGGGCGGAAGCCUGAUGCAGCAACGCCGCGUGCGGGAUGACGGCCUUCGGGUUGUAAACCGCUUUCGCCUGUGACGAAGCGUGAGUGACGGUAAUGGGUAAAGAAGCACCGGCUAACUACGUG